UUAAGUUAAUUAUUUUACCUUAAUUAUUAAGGUUAAAUAUGAAAGAAUAAUCAGAUAUGGAAUCCAAACCCUAAUUUUGGAUUAUUAUCAAGGUAUGAGAAUAAUAAUAUAAUAUUACAUAUAUUUUGAUUUUUCAGUGCUAUGAAUAUGUACGGUAUGUCCGUAUUGAUAAUGGUUGGUCAAUUACGGUGUAUUUUGACCCAAACCCUAGUAAUAAUGUUAAACCCUAAUUUGAG
Molecule: long non-coding RNA, 236 nt
Filed under: Panax ginseng (ginseng)
Lineage: Eukaryota; Viridiplantae; Streptophyta; Magnoliopsida; Apiales; Araliaceae
Description: long non-coding RNA (PGIN_LNC015486)
Source: RNAcentral